AGAGUUUGAUCAUGGCUCAGAUUGAACGCUGGCGGCAGGCCUAACACAUGCAAGUCGAGCGGUAGCACAGAGAGCUUGCUCUCGGGUGACGAGCGGCGGACGGGUGAGUAAUGUCUGGGAAACUGCCUGAUGGAGGGGGAUAACUACUGGAAACGGUAGCUAAUACCGCAUAAUGUCGCAAGACCAAAGUGGGGGACCUUCGGGCCUCAUGCCAUCAGAUGUGCCCAGAUGGGAUUAGCUAGUAGGUGGGGUAACGGCUCACCUAGGCGACGAUCCCUAGCUGGUCUGAGAGGAUGACCAGCCACACUGGAACUGAGACACGGUCCAGACUCCUACGGGAGGCAGCAGUGGGGAAUAUUGCACAAUGGGCGCAAGCCUGAUGCAGCCAUGCCGCGUGUGUGAAGAAGGCCUUCGGGUUGUAAAGCACUUUCAGCGGGGAGGAAGGCGUUGAGGUUAAUAACCUUGCCGAUUGACGUUACCCGCAGAAGAAGCACCGGCUAACUCCGUGCCAGCAGCCGCGGUAAUACGGAGGGUGCAAGCGUUAAUCGGAAUUACUGGGCGUAAAGCGCACGCAGGCGGUCUGUCAAGUCGGAUGUGAAAUCCCCGGGCUCAACCUGGGAACUGCAUUCGAAACUGGCAGGCUAGAGUCUUGUAGAGGGGGGUAGAAUUCCAGGUGUAGCGGUGAAAUGCGUAGAGAUCUGGAGGAAUACCGGUGGCGAAGGCGGCCCCCUGGACAAAGACUGACGCUCAGGUGCGAAAGCGUGGGGAGCAAACAGGAUUAGAUACCCUGGUAGUCCACGCCGUAAACGAUGUCGAUUUGGAGGUUGUGCCCUUGAGGCGUGGCUUCCGGAGCUAACGCGUUAAAUCGACCGCCUGGGGAGUACGGCCGCAAGGUUAAAACUCAAAUGAAUUGACGGGGGCCCGCACAAGCGGUGGAGCAUGUGGUUUAAUUCGAUGCAACGCGAAGAACCUUACCUGGUCUUGACAUCCACAGAACUUUCCAGAGAUGGAUUGGUGCCUUCGGGAACUGUGAGACAGGUGCUGCAUGGCUGUCGUCAGCUCGUGUUGUGAAAUGUUGGGUUAAGUCCCGCAACGAGCGCAACCCUUAUCCUUUGUUGCCAGCGGUUCGGCCGGGAACUCAAAGGAGACUGCCAGUGAUAAACUGGAGGAAGGUGGGGAUGACGUCAAGUCAUCAUGGCCCUUACGACCAGGGCUACACACGUGCUACAAUGGCAUAUACAAAGAGAAGCGACCUCGCGAGAGCAAGCGGACCUCAUAAAGUAUGUCGUAGUCCGGAUUGGAGUCUGCAACUCGACUCCAUGAAGUCGGAAUCGCUAGUAAUCGUAGAUCAGAAUGCUACGGUGAAUACGUUCCCGGGCCUUGUACACACCGCCCGUCACACCAUGGGAGUGGGUUGCAAAAGAAGUAGGUAGCUUAACCUUCGGGAGGGCGCUUACCACUUUGUGAUUCAUGACUGGGGUGAAGUCGUAACAAGGUAACCGUAGGGGAACCUGCGGUUGGAUCACCU
Molecule: ribosomal RNA, 1528 nt
Filed under: Klebsiella pneumoniae
Lineage: Bacteria; Pseudomonadati; Pseudomonadota; Gammaproteobacteria; Enterobacterales; Enterobacteriaceae
Description: bacterial SSU rRNA
Rfam family: Bacterial small subunit ribosomal RNA
Source: RNAcentral